RNAcentral lists this ribosomal RNA (527 nucleotides) under uncultured fungus. RNAcentral's name for it is "eukaryotic LSU rRNA". The stretch from base 190 to 342 matches the Rfam family "5.8S ribosomal RNA". Lineage: Eukaryota; Fungi. The record is from RNAcentral.
AAGUCGUAACAAGGUCUCCGUAGGUGAACCUGCGGAGGGAUCAUUACCGAGAGAGGGCGCCUCGCGCGCCCGCCUCCCAACCCUUUGCGAACCGUACCGCGUUGCCUCGGGUGGCCCUAGCCGGGCGCCCCGAGGACGUCUCACCAAACCCUGCGUCCCUGCGUCGGAGUAUGAUAUUGAAUCAAUCAAAACUUUCAACAACGGAUCUCUUGGUUCUGGCAUCGAUGAAGAACGCAGCGAAAUGCGAUAAGUAAUGUGAAUUGCAGAAUUCAGUGAAUCAUCGAAUCUUUGAACGCACAUUGCGCCCCCUGGCAUUCCGGGGGCAUGCCCGUUCGAGCGUCAUUACACCACUCAAGCCUGGCUUGGUAUUGGGCGUCGGGAUGCACCCGCGCCUCUAUGUUUGUUCGGCUGGACGGUUGGAAUCUCAGCGUUGUGCAAUCAAUCCGCUGUGGGACCCGACUGGACGCGCCGUGAAAAUCUCAUCACAGGUUGACCUCGGAUCGGGUAGGGAUACCCGCUGAACUUAA